This 29-nucleotide non-coding RNA is filed under the name Mus musculus (house mouse). The record is from RNAcentral. Lineage: Eukaryota; Metazoa; Chordata; Mammalia; Rodentia; Muridae.
UGGAUUUGAAGUACUUGGGAACUAUAUUC